Molecule: ribosomal RNA, 238 nt
Filed under: uncultured bacterium
Lineage: Bacteria
Description: partial 16S ribosomal RNA
Rfam family: Bacterial small subunit ribosomal RNA
Source: RNAcentral
CGGCGGACGGGUGAGUAACGCGUGGGUAACCUGCCUCAUACAGGGGGAUAACAGUUAGAAAUGACUGCUAAUACCGCAUAAGACCACAGCACCGCAUGGUGCGGGGGUAAAAACUCCGGUGGUAUGAGGUGGACCCGCGUCUGAUUAGCUAGUUGGUAAGGUAACGGCUUACCAAGGCGACGAUCAGUAGCCGACCUGAGAGGGUGACCGGCCACAUUGGGACUGAGACACGGCCCAA